This 28-nucleotide non-coding RNA is filed under the name Mus musculus (house mouse). The record is from RNAcentral. Lineage: Eukaryota; Metazoa; Chordata; Mammalia; Rodentia; Muridae.
UACAUCCAGUACCAACAACUGAGCACAC